Pelobates cultripes (western spadefoot toad) is the source of this 458-nucleotide non-coding RNA. The record is from the annotation of a GenBank genome assembly. Lineage: Eukaryota; Metazoa; Chordata; Amphibia; Anura; Pelobatidae.
CUCGCUUUCAUCUUUCGAGUAAAUUCAUACCCCCUAACAUCAGUGUCCGGUGAAGUAGGAUUUCAGUGGGCAGUAACAAACAUGCCCAAAAGGGGGUGUGUCUGCACAAAGAAUUCGAUGGUCAGUCUGGCGUGAAUGCACGUUAGGCUGCCUGCCAAUAAUACAGGAUCACCAACCAUGGGCAUACUGUGCAUGGCAUAAAUGUGUCUAAUGAUGCGCUAGCUCUACGCUUUCUAAGGACUGUCCCCUAGCACUCACUGGUCUACUCAUCUCCUUAUGUUCUUACUAGCAGGCAGAAGCUCUUGUUAUACAGUCUGGGACAGAGAAAACGUGUAUGUAGAGCGUGUAGAAGAAAGGGAACAUGCCACAGUGUAAGAGAGACUGAAGCAGCAAGAGCAUUUGCAUAGUACGCAAAGUCAGCUUUACCUUAACUAAUUUAAUUAUCAGCCAGUCCACAC